Molecule: long non-coding RNA, 3180 nt
Organism: Ostrea edulis (European flat oyster)
Lineage: Eukaryota; Metazoa; Mollusca; Bivalvia; Ostreida; Ostreidae
Exons: 12
Source: RefSeq, a predicted model, not a curated record
CUUUAUGAAGCAGAAGACACUUGCUGUGAAAACGAAAAUGGAUGCCGCGCCAUGAAAAACAGUUCUGAGUUCAUUUUAAAGAUAUUUGCAGGGUUUUGUCCACUGAACCACUGGUGGGGAUGGCAGCACCUACCCCUGCACAGAGACCCCGAAUAGACCUGCCCGGACCAUUAUUAGAAGAGUGGACAGCACUGUGCACCUGACCGGAGAAGUUCCUCGUAAAUGUUACAUUGCGAGGCAGAGAUCGUCGCAGGGUUCGAUUAAAGCUCUCGACCUUCUGAGAGUUGCUGUUUUUGAUCGUCUUGGCCAGGACAGCUGGAGACAAUCUUUUUGAGAUACAAGCAUGGAGCAAGUUCUCAUUCUCGGCCGAACAGGAAGCCCAUCCUGAUAGAGGGAAUGCGCCGCUCGGGUCAGUGGUUACCUCCCGUACCUCGAGGCCAGUCUCACUGAGGAGUUCUGCCAUUCCCUCCUUAGCCCAGGUGAACUCAUCCCCUAUGGUGUGAUGCAUUGGAAGGUUUGCCCCACAUACCCCAGGACUACAACAGUGGUCAACAGUGCCCUCAUCAAGGACUUGCGUGAAGGGGGAGGGGUGUUGGUUGAAAGUAGAAUUUUCCUCAACCCAUCAUUUCCUAAAGGGGUUUGACUUAGGCCAACUUGUAAACCAUAGUUUACAGUGGCAGCCUUUCUCCCUGGGGAUUUGGUCUCUACCUCCUCAUACAAAUUGUACAGGCCAGACAGGAACGGACAUUCGGAGCAUGUCAUCCUCAUCCGGGUGGCAAGGCCACGCCUCUCCUCAGUGUCUAGAUCCCAAGUCAGGAUACCCCGACAGUCUGGACUUCCUUGCUGGUGGAGGCGGAACACCUCGUUAAACAUGGCCACUGUCUUGCCGAGAUGUAGCAGCCUGUGCGAGUCCUGGUUUACCCUAAGAAGAGUCAGAGAACUUCCUGGGCGUAACAAAUGGUGGCACCAUGGCCGCGGGAGCAUUUCCUGUUUUUCUGAAGCUGAAGGAGGGUCCUUCACUAACUGAUCCAUUUCAGGAGGCAGUCUUUCAUAUGGAGCAGUCAAAAAUCAGAUCCAAAUAUCAUCAGAAUUGUCAGAGUCUUUCACUCCUGGUAAUGUCAAUGUCCAUAGAUGGUGCAGCUCAUUCACAUGGUGACAGAUCUCAUGACACAGAAAUUCCAGAACUCAAAUUUCCUACAUGUGCACAGGAUGUUGUCCACUAAGCUAAUGGUGGGGAUCGUAGCAGCUACCCUGCACACAGACAUUGAAUGGAGCUGUCUCGUCCAUUAUCAGAAGAGUGCGUCCGAUCAGAGAAGUUUCUUGAGGAGCAUCACGAGGGACUUGUGUGAAUGGGCAGAAGACAUUUUCUUAACUCACCACUCCAUCAUUGCCUGAUGUUUGAGACUGAACACUUUAUUGAAAAUUGAUGGGAUGUAGCAAUCAAUGGGUGUCAUCAUUUGCCCUGAGAAGACUAAGAGAACUCCCUGGUCCUCAUGAGAUGGUGACACCCUGCAGUAGGAGCAGUUCUUACCGGUAUCUCUUAAAAGAAGACAAAGGUUUUCUUAGCAUCUGAUCCAUUUCUGGAGACAAACUUUUGAAUGGUGCUGGGUAGCAGUUACUCGAGAUGUCUGGCUGAUUGACGAAGAUAAUUGCCCUGCGCCUGACAUUCUUGUAGGCCUUGGAUACCUCUAUCACUGUAAAAAAUGUCAGGACGGUGGAGAUUUAGAUAAGUGGUGUGAUGUUAUUGAUGGUAAACAGAAGACUGUGACCUUGAAUCUGAAGAUCUGUGAUGAAGACUGGACGUUUGGGGUCACUCUCUGUUACAGUACUACAAAUCUAACAGUGCCACACUCAGCCACAAAGAGGUUGUCUCUGAUGUCCACACAUAAACCCCAUGGAUAGCGUAAAUGACAGUGAAUGUAACGGAGGAACUGUCCGUCCUGAUCUAGGAUGUGGAUACGGUGAUUGGGACGGUCUGCUGUCAGGAUGUGACUCUGGCUGUCUGUAGUGAUGCCGCGUGGAUUAAAUGAUUGCUUGGUAUUAGAGGGAUGACCAGUGUAUCUAAAUCGGAGUUUUCCUGACUGAUUGACCACCACUACUGCACUAGCUGUAUAGUCAGCCACACAGAUAUCCAGGUUCUUGUUCUCACUGAGGUAUUUAAUGUUAUUAUAAACACCAGAUGAGUAGAGAGGACGACCCUGAUCAUCAAACUGAAUGCUUUGUUUCUCUGUGGAGCCGGAGUAACGCACGACUUUGGAUUGUUUGUAAUCAUCACUGAUCAUGGUAACCAGGAGGUCGUUACCCGCGGUACAGCAGACAGAGAGAGGUCUCCACCCCUGUAGUGUGAUCACGGUCUGUAUCUGUUUAUUCUUAAUUAAGUUCACGGUGUUAUUCCAAUAGUUAGUAUAAACAAGAUCUCCGUCCCGUGUCACUGCUAUGUCCUCUGGUCUGUUCCCUGACUUGGUUUGUAUUGAUGUCAGUAGUUUACUCUGGAGGUUGAGCAGCUUCAUGGUUUCGUUAUCCCCGUGUGUCCAGACUUGAUCUUCACUCAGACAGCUAACACUGUAUAGAUCUCUAUACCCAGUGUCUAUGGUGGCGGUGACGCGCGGCUCAUCAAGCAGUGGUUUGACUGGAGGAGAAGAUACAGCUUCUGCUGACUUCAUUGUGUCGCCAUGUUCUGUGUUAAUGGAUAAUGGCGGCAGAGAACCAAACAUUUCAUUGAGCUGAUCUUUGUUUAUUUUCUGAGGAGAGAAACUCGGUAAUGUAACUCGGACUUUAGGCGGUAAUGUUCUAAAUUGGGAAUUCCUAGAUUUAUAAGUAGAGGUUAAGGAGACAUCAUUUGAUUUUAGGAUUGAUUUCAAGUCGGACAUGAUCUGUUUGAGUUCCGCCAUUUUCUGUGUGAUUUCUUCUGUAUUUUUAUUUAGUGCGUCCAGAUGUUUAGUUUUCAUCUCCGCAAUGGCGGAUUUCCGUCGGUUGACAAUGGCGGUAAUCUCCCGGUGUAAGAUUUCUCCUUGUUGGUCAGCAAUUGUGGUCAGUUUCCCGUAUUUCGUUUCUAACUCGGCUUUUUCAGUUUGCACAUGGGAGGCCAUUUCUUCAUAUCGCGGGUAAAUUCUUGUCUCGAGUUCUUUUAGAUCUUUUUGUAAACUUUCUGUUUUAGCGCUGAGUUUUUCCAAAAUAUCU